GCAUAUCAAUAAGCGGAGGAAAAGAAACCAACAGGGAUUGCCUCAGUAACGGCGAGUGAAGCGGCAAAAGCUCAAAUUUGAAACCCUCGGGAUUGUAAUUUGAAGAUUUGGCAUUGGAGAAAGCUAACCCAAGUUGCUUGGAAUAGUACGUCAUAGAGGGUGACAACCCCGUCUGGCUAACCGUUCUCCAUGUAUUGCCUUAUCAAAGAGUCGAGUUGUUUGGGAAUGCAGCUCAAAGUGGGUGGUAAACUCCGUCUAAAGCUAAAUACUGGUGAGAGACCGAUAGCGAACAAGUACUGUGAAGGAAAGGUGAAAAGAACUUUGAAAAGAGAGUGAAAUAGUAUGUGAAAUUGUUGAUAGGGAAGGAAAUGAGUGGAGAGUGGCCGAGGUUUCAGCCGCCCCUCGUGGGCGGUGUACUGCCGACGCCGAGUCAUCGAUAGCGAGACGAGGGUUACAAAUGGGAGCGCCUUCGGGCAUUCUCCCCUAACCCUCCACACUGCCACCGACGACAUAAUCCACCCAUUUCACCCGUCUUGAAACACGGACC
Molecule: ribosomal RNA, 547 nt
Filed under: uncultured yeast
Lineage: Eukaryota; Fungi
Description: eukaryotic LSU rRNA
Rfam family: Eukaryotic large subunit ribosomal RNA
Source: RNAcentral